Molecule: long non-coding RNA, 4536 nt
Filed under: Salvia miltiorrhiza (redroot sage)
Lineage: Eukaryota; Viridiplantae; Streptophyta; Magnoliopsida; Lamiales; Lamiaceae
Description: long non-coding RNA (SMIL_LNC000496)
Source: RNAcentral
UAGAUUUGUGCCGACCAAAAGGAACAAGAGAAUGUACGAAAUCGAGAGAGAAGUUCAGUCGUUGAUUCGGCGGCUGAUCGAUGGGAGGAUGAAGGCGAUGAAAGGAGGGGAAGCUUGUGAGGAGGAUUUACUGGGGAUCUUGUUGGAGUCGAAUUUGCGAGAGAUGGAAGAAGGAGGCGACAGGAGUUUCGGAAUGAGUAAUGAUGAAGUAGUUCAAGAGUGCAAACUCUUCUAUUUUGCAGGCCAGGAGACCACCUCAGUGCUGCUUGUUUGGACAAUGUUGUUGCUGAGUAGGUAUCCACAGUGGCAGACCAAAGCCAGGGAAGAAGUCUUGCAAGUCUUUGCUAACCGUAAACCAGAUUUUGAUGGUCUCAAUCACCUCAAGAUUGUAAGUAUAAGCUCACUUCAACUAUUUAGGGGAUAUUUGGCUGAAUUUACAAACUACCUAACACAGCGUAUAAGCUCUUGAAAAAUGUUUGGCUAAGAGGGUGUUUGCUUGAGCUUAUAUGCUCUUUAAAAGAAAAAUUAUAAGUUGUUAAACAACUUAAAAGCUACAAUUCAUUUUUAUAUGGUCUUAUAUGAAACAAUCAUUUUGAUAAUGUUCGGUUAUGGUUUAUCAUGCUUUCAAAUAUAUAUUUGAAAGCUCUCUUCAAUUUUCUCUUUUUCACAAAUAUUUUCUAUUUUUAACACAAACUUCUCUAAUAAGCUCAAAUCAUCCAAAGAUUGACUUAUAGAAAACUAUAUCUUAUAAGAUCUUUAAAAUAAGCUUAGACUAAACAACUUAUAAGCUCUCAAAAAAAUAAUUUCUUCAACCUCAAUUUUUUUUUCAUAAUCUUAUAGACAAUCCAUUUACAAUUUUUUCUUCUUUAAAUAGAUUUUUUUUUCUCUAUAGCUUAUUAUAAGCUCAAUAUUCAAAUAUUUUGAGAGUUUAUAACCUCUUGAAAUUUACUUCUUAUAAACUACUCCCUUUGUCCCGUGAAGCUUGAGCAAUUUCUUAAAUAAAAAAUCUUUUACCAUAUAAAAAAAUGCUCAAGUUUCGCGGAAUAAUCCGAAAAUGAAUACUGCUCAAACUUCGGGGGACAAAGGAAGUUUUAAAACUUCUAAAAUUAGCUUAGGUAAACACUUGCACUAGCUAGUUUAUAAUGUGAUUCGUGCUAAAUGACAGGUUACAAUGAUUCUAUACGAGGUGUUGAGGCUUUAUCCACCGGUAGUUUCUUUUGGUCGGAGAGUCGGCGAAGAAACCAAGUUAGGGAAAGUGAGAUUGCCGGCGGGAGUUCAGGUUACACUGCCGACGAUCAUACUCCAUCACGACCGGGAAAUCUGGGGCGACGAUGCGAUGGAGUUCAAUCCGCAGAGAUUCAGCGAAGGGGUGUCCAAGGCGCAGAAGAAGCAGGGAAUAUUCUUUCCGUUUGGGUGGGGCCCGCGCAUCUGCGUCGGGCAAAUGUUUGCGAUGGUGGAGGCGAAGAUGGCGGUGACUAUGAUUCUGCAACGCUUCUCGUUUGAGCUCUCGCCUUCGUAUACGCACGCUCCUUGCACUGUCAUUACUGCUCAGCCUCAGCAUGGAGCUCACUUUCUUCUGCACAAGCUCUAGACUUUCACAUUAAUUGGAUGGAAUAAGAUAAUUCACUUUCUUCUGCACAAGCUUUAGAUUUUCAGAUUAGUCAGUGGAUGGAAUAAGAUAGCUAAAAAUGAAGAAUGAAGAUAAUAAAAUUAUGAAUAAAUAGGGUACGUGCCUCUAAUAUGUUUUAUUUUAUACUCCCUAUUUAAUAGAUAAAGUAAGAAGGCCGUGGUUGGUCUUAUAUGCCAUCCACAACCACUCUUAAAGGGCAUUUACAUUGGAGGAUUAGCCUUAACAAAUAAAAAUAGUAAAAUUAAUCUUUUGUUUAUUCUGAUAGAUUGAAACUUUGGGAUAUAUCCCAAGAUUGUCCUUGAUUAUUUAUAUUAUUUAAGCCAUUGAAAGGUGAGAUUGGAGAAAUCCUACUCUUAAGAAUAAAAAUACCCAAUCGUGCAUUUUAUCAAUCAUGGAAAGUAAACACCCCUCAUUGUUUAAUCGCUUUAAUUUCUGUUGUAUGUAAACGUUUCUGUUUGAUUCUCUUGGUAGUAAUGCACAUAGUAAAUAAUCAUUCCAAAAAGUAUAAAAUAUAUUUAAUUUUUUGGAAGGAUUGCUAUGAAGAGAAUCAAACACGUUUUAUAUUUAGACUAUUUGGAAGGAUUAUUUUGUUCAUUACUACCAAGAGAAUCAAACAGAAACGUUUUUCUAUCGAUCGAUCAAAUACAACUGCAAUAAAUAAUCUGAUCACAUCAAAUUAUAUAUACAAAAAAAAUCAAUACAUAAUAUUAAUUAACCACAUGCAAAGUUUGAUAAUUUGAUAUUCUGAAAAUGAAUACAUAAUAUAAUAAAUACAAACCACAUCUAGGCAACUUUUUAAUUUCGUCCCCCCUUUAAAAAGAGAUUAUUAGAGUGGCCAUUAUAGCAUGAUCAAAAAUGGAGAUCCUGUAUCAAAUACUUACUGCUGGUUUUUCAUUAGUGGCGUUGAUAUACAUAUUGAAAUUACUAAAUUGGGUAUAUUUCAGACCAAAAUGGCUGGAAAAAGCCUUGAGAGAGCAGGGCUUAAAGGGUAAUUCGUAUAAGCUGGUGUAUGGUGACAUGAAGGAGAUUGUGAAGACGAUGGAUGAAGCCUACUCCAAGCCCAUCAAUCUUGACGAUGAUAUCAAGCCAAGAGUUGUCUCUUUUUUCAUCAAAACCAUUCAGAAACAUGGUAUGUGUAUCUCUUCUUUUUUUAAUAAAUAAAACCUAAUAUUUUUCAUUUUCUUAAGAUUUAAAUUUGGAAUAAAUUUUUGCAGGAAAUGAGUGCUUUUUCUGGCUAGGCUCAAAUCCUUCAGUUGUAGUGACGGAGGCUGAGCUAGUGAAGGAGGUUCUAACCAAGACUGAUAUCUACCUGAAGCAGCAGACCCCCAACCCACUGGCUAAGCUGCUCGCGCUCGGCGUCUUUACCUACGACAAACAAAAAUGGUCCAAACACAGGAAAAUCAUCAAUCCCGCUUUCCACCUCCACAAAGUGAAGGUCAUGAUCUAUUCCAAAUUCGUGGUUUAGGGUUUUGUCAAAUUUAGUAGAAAUUUUAAUAUAUUUCAAGUGAACUGCACAGCUCAUGGUUCCGGCCUUCUACUUGAGCUGCGAAGAAGUGUUGAACCGAUGGGAAAAGAGGGUUUCGGGUGAAGGAUGCAGCGAGGUGGAUGUGUGGCCUUAUUUACAGAACUUAACAAGCAAUGCGAUAUCAAGAACUGCGUUCGGUAGCAGCUAUGAGCAGGGGAGACGAAUAUUCGACCUUCAGAGAGAGCAAGCUGAAUACGUCGUGGCGGCUCAACGCUCUAUAUACAUCCCGGGGUGGAGGUAUAGUAAGAUCAUACUCUCUUCGUCCCAAUUUAAUAGGUACAGGGCUCGAGCACGGAUGUUAAGAAAUAAAAAGUUUAUAAUAAAAUAAGAGAGAGAAAAUAACUUUUUUUGAGAAUAUAUUUAUCCAAAAAUUAGAAAAAAAAAUGGAGAUAUUAUUUUUUAAAUAAAAAUAGAGAUAAUUUUGUGUGAGACAUAUAUAUAUAGUGUAAAUAAUGAGUUAUGUGGCGAUUUUGUUAUGUGUUGACUUUUCACUUUAUAUUGAAAUGGGACAUUCAAAUAAGAAAACAUGACCUAUUAAUUAAUUAAUUUAUUUAUAACACAAGAAAAUUAUAGUCAUGUAGAUAAAAAUAUGAAAAUAGCCUGUAGUCAUUUUGGACUAUUACGAUCUUACACACUUACACAAAUUUUGUUAUUCAUAUAACCAAAAUUCAUAUAAAUCGUGUAAGUACUGCGUACGUAAAUGCAUAAGCUUUUGGCUAGAAUAAAGUGUUGUCUCUAAUUAAUAUAUACACGAGGCUAGGGUUUGGUUAUAACAAAAAUCAUAUAUUAAUGCUUUUCCUUAUAAUCAACUGUUAAUCAUAUACUUUAAUUUGAGUGUGUUUAUUUUGAUGGAAAAUGAGAGAAAAAAUAUAUUUUCACACUCAUUUUUUACUAUUUCCACAUGUUUACUAUGAUAGAAAAUUUUCUCCGGGCUACAGGGUGUAAUAUUUUCUCAGGCAACUCAUUUUAUCUCCACUGUUGGAUAAUAUUAUCCUAUGAUAGAGCCAUGAAAAUAUUUUCCAACAUUUUCUCAUCUUUUCAUCUCUAGUAAACAUAAGAUAAAAAAUGAGAAAAAGAUAAUAUUUUCUCAUAUUUUUUUAUCCACCAUUUUCCAAUGAAAAUUUUACCAUGACGGAAUUUAGCACUCCGUUUAUAUUGUGAACGCACGCGUAGAUUCAUGCCGACAAAAAGGAACAAGAGAAUGUACGAAAUCGAGAGGGAAAUUCAGUCGUUGAUUCGGCGGCUGAUCGAGGGGAGGAUGAAGGCGAUGAAAGGAGGGGAAGCUUGUGAGGAGGACUUACUGGAGAUCUUGUUGGAGUCCAAUUUGCGAGAGAUGGAAGAAGGAGGCGACAAGAGUUUCGGAAUGAGUAAUGAUGAAGUA